GACGGUCACCACGGCAACUGAAGGGCAGCAAAGCAGAGCAAAAAAUGAGUCACAGCAGCAGCUGGUGUGAUGGAAACACUGUGACAGUCUUCAACAAGGACAAAGACACAGAAGCACAGCUGAAGGGAAACUCCAACACUGAGAGAGGAGAGAAGAGGACAGCAACCUGCGGCCGAGGAAAGGAGAAUGAUCUCCGGGGGAAAGCGGCUUCUUUUCUACAAGUUGAUCAACAUUUCUGUCCUGAUCGGAAACGUCUCGCGCCGCGCGGAUAAAGAAGGAGAGGGGGCGGGGUCUGACACCGACUCACCUGUGGAAGUGUACCUGUCUGCUGUAGUCCGCAGAACUUUUCCUGUGAGCAGAAUGAAGGUCUGUCCUAGUGUAACCGCAACUCCCGAGACAGACCUGGCGACCCCCGAGCUCCAGACGCAGGAACUUUCGCGCUGCUCGGUUGCCAUGGAAACGGAGCGUAAACCCUCACUAGGAGACGUUGCAGGGAUGUAGCUGUUAUUAAAAACAACACCCUAAAGAUAAUACUCAUGCACACAUGUAUUAUUCAUGUUGGUCAUGAAUAGAUUUUCUGCACCUUUAUAAUUUUACAAACUUUAUUUGUACCCUAAUCUUCUGACAACAGCAGGUGCAUGAUAAAGAAGAGCUUCAUAGACUGUUUUUUAUUGGUACAUGUUGGGGCUGACACAUUAAAUGUAUGUAAUUUA
Oryzias melastigma (Indian medaka) is the source of this 713-nucleotide long non-coding RNA. RefSeq lists it as uncharacterized. NCBI's taxonomy places the organism in Eukaryota, Metazoa, Chordata, Actinopteri, Beloniformes, Adrianichthyidae. The record is from RefSeq and is a predicted model, not a curated record. The transcript is spliced from 3 exons.